UCGUGCUUGAUUGUUAGGAAACAUUAGACUAAGCAGAAAGUGGUUCACAAGGCUGCCUCAGGAGUUUUAGGCAUCACGAAGAAAAGAUACAUUUCAUGGAUGGCUUUAAAAUCCUUGCACUUUACCACUCGAUGUCAUUAAAACGUCACACAGACAUCAUCAGUGGUCUCUCUGUUUGCACGCUCUCAGUCUCUGUGAUUUUGACACAUAUUUUGUUAACAUAGAAAAUCUACAGCUCCCGUCAAAUAACAGCGAUAUUAUUGAGCUCAUUUGAGUGGAGCCAACCUUGAAAGAAUGGCUGCAGUUUUUAGAACUAGGUGUUGAAGUUUGUUCUUUAUGCAGAAUAUUUGAUAGCUGGCUCAUAAAAAUCAGACAUCCAAUAACUCAAAUUAUUAGAAAAAUUCCCAAGAUCAAUCAAAAGAAGGAUUUGCAAUAGAGAAAUCUCUUACUUCUGAAAAGCAUAUUCAUUUAUACAGUCAAUUCUUGGAAAGGGCUCCUUUCCUACAAACGUCUACAUCAAUGCGGUGUGAUGUAGAGGUGAUCAGCCUUUACUACUGCUCAGGUGUUACAAAAGCACAGGUUUUGAUAGCGACCUUCAGCUCGUCUGUGUUUUUGAGUCGAGUGUUUUUCAUCUUUCUACUGACAACACCACUUAUGGGGUUCAUGUCAGCUGGUUGUCACAUCAAGCACAGUAAUA
Molecule: long non-coding RNA, 697 nt
Organism: Acanthochromis polyacanthus (spiny chromis)
Lineage: Eukaryota; Metazoa; Chordata; Actinopteri; Pomacentridae
Exons: 2
Source: RefSeq, a predicted model, not a curated record